GACAAAUGCCCUGCUUCCAGGAAAAGCCUCUAAGCAUCAGGUAACAUCAAAUCGUACCCCAAACCGACACAGGUGGUCAGGUAGAGAAUACCAAGGCGCUUGAGAGAACUCGGGUGAAGGAACUAGGCAAAAUGGUGCCGUAACUUCGGGAGAAGGCACGCUGAUAUGUAGGUGAAGCGACUUGCUCGUGGAGCUGAAAUCAGUCGAAGAUACCAGCUGGCUGCAACUGUUUAUUAAAAACACAGCACUGUGCAAACACGAAAGUGGACGUAUACGGUGUGACGCCUGCCCGGUGCCGGAAGGUUAAUUGAUGGGGUUAGCGGUAACGCGAAGCUCUUGAUCGAAGCCCCGGUAAACGGCGGCCGUAACUAUAACGGUCCUAAGGUAGCGAAAUUCCUUGUCGGGUAAGUUCCGACCUGCACGAAUGGCGUAAUGAUGGCCAGGCUGUCUCCACCCGAGACUCAGUGAAAUUGAACUCGCUGUGAAGAUGCAGUGUACCCGCGGCAAGACGGAAAGACCCCGUGAACCUUUACUAUAGCUUGACACUGAACAUUGAGCCUUGAUGUGUAGGAUAGGUGGGAGGCUUUGAAGUGUGGACGCCAGUCUGCAUGGAGCCGACCUUGAAAUACCACCCUUUAAUGUUUGAUGUUCUAACGUUGGCCCGUAAUCCGGGUUGCGGACAGUGUCUGGUGGGUAGUUUGACUGGGGCGGUCUCCUCCUAAAGAGUAACGGAGGAGCACGAAGGUUGGCUAAUCCUGGUCGGACAUCAGGAGGUUAGUGCAAUGGCAUAAGCCAGCUUGACUGCGAGCGUGACGGCGCGAGCAGGUGCGAAAGCAGGUCAUAGUGAUCCGGUGGUUCUGAAUGGAAGGGCCAUCGCUCAACGGAUAAAAGGUACUCCGGGGAUAACAGGCUGAUACCGCCCAAGAGUUCAUAUCGACGGCGGUGUUUGGCACCUCGAUGUCGGCUCAUCACAUCCUGGGGCUGAAGUAGGUCCCAAGGGUAUGGCUGUUCGCCAUUUAAAGUGGUACGCGAGCUGGGUUUAGAACGUCGUGAGACAGUUCGGUCCCUAUCUGCCGUGGGCGCUGGAGAACUGAGGGGGGCUGCUCCUAGUACGAGAGGACCGGAGUGGACGCAUCACUGGUGUUCGGGUUGUCAUGCCAAUGGCACUGCCCGGUAGCUAAAUGCGGAAGAGAUAAGUGCUGAAAGCAUCUAAGCACGAAACUUGCCCCGAGAUGAGUUCUCCCUGACUCCUUGAGGGUCCUGAAGGAACGUUGAAGACGACGACGUUGAUAGGCCGGGUGUGUAAGCGCAGCGAUGCGUUGAGCUAACCGGUACUAAUGAACCGUGAGGCUUAACCUU
Molecule: ribosomal RNA, 1359 nt
Filed under: Escherichia coli
Lineage: Bacteria; Pseudomonadati; Pseudomonadota; Gammaproteobacteria; Enterobacterales; Enterobacteriaceae
Also listed under: 1 other name
Description: partial 23S ribosomal RNA
Rfam family: Bacterial large subunit ribosomal RNA
Source: RNAcentral